RNAcentral lists this signal recognition particle RNA (324 nucleotides) under Carlito syrichta (Philippine tarsier). RNAcentral's name for it is "Metazoan signal recognition particle RNA (ENSTSYG00000035898.1)". It matches the Rfam family "Metazoan signal recognition particle RNA". Rfam says of the family: The signal recognition particle (SRP) is a universally conserved ribonucleoprotein. It is involved in the co-translational targeting of proteins to membranes. The eukaryotic SRP consists of a 300-nucleotide 7S RNA and six proteins: SRPs 72, 68, 54, 19, 14, and 9. The record is from RNAcentral. Lineage: Eukaryota; Metazoa; Chordata; Mammalia; Primates; Tarsiidae.
GCUAGGUGUGGUGGCACACACCUGUAGUCCCAGUUACUCAGGAGGCUGAGGUAGGAGGAUCGCUUGAGCCUAGGAGUGCUGGACUAUGCCAGUUGGUCUCCACACUGAGUUCAGCAUAAAUAUUGUAACCUCCAGGAAGCUGGGGAAUCACCAGGUUGCCUAAGGAAGGGCGCACCUGCCCAGGUCAGAAAGGGAAGAUGUCAUAUAAGUGGUGAUGGUGGCUCAUGCCUGCAAUCCCAGCAUUUUUGGGAGGUUGAGGCUGGAGGAUUGCUUGAGCCUAAGAGCUUGAGACCAGCCUGGGUAACAUAGCGAGACCUUGUUUCU